This 484-nucleotide ribosomal RNA is filed under the name uncultured bacterium. RNAcentral's name for it is "partial 16S ribosomal RNA". It matches the Rfam family "Bacterial small subunit ribosomal RNA", at positions 30 to 507 of the family's 1533-position model. The record is from RNAcentral.
AUUGAACGCUGGCGGCAGGCCUAACACAUGCAAGUCGAGCGGAUGAAGGGAGCUUGCUCCUGGAUUCAGCGGCGGACGGGUGAGUAAUGCCUAGGAAUCUGCCUGGUAGUGGGGGAUAACGUCCGGAAACGGGCGCUAAUACCGCAUACGUCCUGAGGGAGAAAGUGGGGGAUCUUCGGACCUCACGCUAUCAGAUGAGCCUAGGUCGGAUUAGCUAGUUGGUGGGGUAAAGGCCUACCAAGGCGACGAUCCGUAACUGGUCUGAGAGGAUGAUCAGUCACACUGGAAGUGAGACACGGUCCCGACUCCUACGGGAGGCCGCAGUGGGGAAUAUUGGACGAUGGGCGAAAGCCUGAUCCAGCCAUGCCGCGUGUGUGAAGAAGGUCUUCGGAUUGUAAAGCACUUUAAGUUGGGAGGAAGGGCAGUAAGUUAAUACCUUGCUGUUUUGACGUUACCAACAGAAUAAGCACCGGCUAACUUCGUG